Molecule: long non-coding RNA, 1425 nt
Organism: Peromyscus leucopus (white-footed mouse)
Lineage: Eukaryota; Metazoa; Chordata; Mammalia; Rodentia; Cricetidae
Exons: 3
Source: RefSeq, a predicted model, not a curated record
ACAGAGAUCCGCCUGGCUCUGCCUCCCGAGUGCUGGGAUUAAAGGUGUGUGCCACCACCGCCUGGCUAGGGUUUGGACAUCUCUUAUGUACCCCCAACUUAGUACCCCAGCACCUCAUUUUCCACGCUUUUCACAUCUUACCCGGAUAAAAACCAUGUAGGGGUGAGUUGACUUAGUUUUCUCCAUGCUUAAGACCCUUCCAGCAGGACUCUGGACAGCCACUACCAGCUACUACCAGUCACUGCGCCUGCGCAGGCGGCUGCAGCUGCACCUGUUGCUCACCAGGCCUGACAUUGAGAGGGGCAGGGCCCUAGCCUUGGGUGGGACAAGAGUGGGAAUGAGGGUCGGGGUAGAAAGGCAGAGGACUGGGCAGCUGUUGACUAAAGGAAAAGAGAGACUGAGAACCACGUAGCCCUAAACUAGCCAAUUGGGACAUUUUUUUUCAAACCUGGUUGACCGGGGAACCAGAGAUUAACCUGGUUUCCCCCUCGGGGUCCCUUGAUAGAGAAAGGUAGAGGAGAAGACGAUGAUGUGUUCUGUUUUGUUUGUUCAAAAAGUUUGCUGCUGUGUACUUUAGCGGGACAAUUAUCUUGUGGCGUGUGUUGAGACACAGUGAACACUGGAAGGUCACCAGGAUGUAAUCCUGCCUUCAGGACAUUUACCCUCAGUCCAGUUUGGUUUCCUAUGUGCAAGUUCCUAGCAUGAGCGCACAGCAGAAGCGCUUCGAGUCCAUCGUUUUUAGUGCAAAGAUGUUGCCUUUAGUGCCCAUGUGACACUGUGUCUUUCUCUCUUCUCUCCCCUCCUACUCUCUGUCUUCUCUGAGGUCUGAGGACAACUUGCAGGAGUCUGUUCUCUCCAUCGACCACGGGAGUCCUGGGGAUGGUACUCGGAUUCAGACCUGGCAGCAAGUGCCUUUAUUCCCUGAGCCAUCUUGCCUGUCCAAAGCCUCUCUUAUUAGGUGCAGUGUUACACUGCUUCCAUAUUGACUAAACAACUGAGAGCUGCAUCAUUGGCUUUAAGCCAGAUACAGGACUAAACAUAUCUGCAGAGCAAGGUUUAUUAUUCCCAUUUUACAGGUUGGGUGCUGUGAAACAAUCUUUGUACACUGCAAAUAGGUAUUGCUCUCAUGAUUAAAGCUGACUGGCUGAUAGGCAGGAUUUUCAAGGCAGAGAGAAUGCUGGGAAGAAGGAGUCAGAGGAGUCUCCAGAGACGCAGAGAGAAGCAAGAUGAAUGUGCCAUGUUGAAAGAAGACAAAAACAAGGCCUUCGAGGACUUCAUUCACAACUAUGACCGCCAGGCAGCCAUCUGCUUCUCCCAGGCUCCACACAACAAGCAGCACAAAGGUGUUUAUUGUUAGACUUGUCACCUCAGUGACUGGGACACCAUCCCUGCCUGCCUGGUUGUGUUCACUACACACUGUGCCCU